AACGCUAGCUACAGGCUUAACACAUGCAAGUCGAGGGGCAGCGGGAAUCUAGCUUGCUAGAUUUGCCGGCGACCGGCGCACGGGUGAGUAACACGUAUCCAACCUGGCCCAUACUCGGGUAUAGCCUCUCGAAAGGGAGAUUAAUCCCCGAUGUUGUCGUUGCACCGCAUGGUACAUCGACCAAAGUUUUUCGGUAUGGGAUGGGGAUGCGUUCCAUUAGCUUGUUGGCGGGGUAACGGCCCACCAAGGCUACGAUGGAUAGGGGUUCUGAGAGGAAGGUCCCCCACACUGGAACUGAGACACGGUCCAGACUCCUACGGGAGGCAGCAGUGAGGAAUAUUGGUCAAUGGACGAGAGUCUGAACCAGCCAAGUAGCGUGAAGGAAGACUGCCCUACGGGUUGUAAACUUCUUUUAUACGGGAAUAAAGUGCCUUACGUGUAGGGUUUUGUAUGUACCGUAUGAAUAAGCAUCGGCUAAUUCCGUGCCAGCAGCCGCGGUAAUACGGAAGAUGCGAGCGUUAUCCGGAUUUAUUGGGUUUAAAGGGAGCGUAGGCGGGUUUUUAAGCCAGCUGUGAAAGUUUGCAGCUCAACCGUAAAAUUGCAGUUGGAACUGGAGACCUUGAGUGUGCAUAAGGUGGAUGGAAUUCGUGGUGUAGCGGUGAAAUGCUUAGAUAUCACGAAGAACUCCGAUUGCGAAGGCAGUCCACUGGGGCACUACUGACGCUGAGGCUCGAAAGUGCGGGUAUCAAACAGGAUUAGAUACCCUGGUAGUCCGCACAGUAAACGAUGGACACUCGCUGUUGGCGAUAUACAGUCAGCGGCCAAGCGAAAGCAUUAAGUGUCCCACCUGGGGAGUACGCCGGCAACGGUGAAACUCAAAGGAAUUGACGGGGGCCCGCACAAGCGGAGGAACAUGUGGUUUAAUUCGAUGAUACGCGAGGAACCUUACCCGGGCUUGAACUGCAGAUGACUUUUCCGGAAACGGGAUUUCCCUUCGGGGCAUCUGUGGAGGUGCUGCAUGGUUGUCGUCAGCUCGUGCCGUGAGGUGUCGGCUUAAGUGC
RNAcentral lists this ribosomal RNA (1061 nucleotides) under uncultured Bacteroidales bacterium. Its description in RNAcentral is "bacterial SSU rRNA". It matches the Rfam family "Bacterial small subunit ribosomal RNA", at positions 32 to 1087 of the family's 1533-position model. The record is from RNAcentral. Lineage: Bacteria; Pseudomonadati; Bacteroidota; Bacteroidia; Bacteroidales.